CCCUUAGAUGUUCUGGGCCGCACGCGCGCUACACUGACGAUGGCAACGAGUUUUUCCUUCGCCGAAAGGUGUGGGUAAUCUUUUGAAACAUCGUCGUGCUGGGGAUAGAUCAUUGCAAUUUUUGAUCUUGAACGAGGAAUUCCUAGUAAGCGCGAGUCAUCAGCUCGCGUUGAUUACGUCCCUGCCCUUUGUACACACCGCCCGUCGCUACUACCGAUUGAAUGGUUUAGUGAGGACUCCUGAUUGGCGCCGCCGCCCCGGCAACGGAGCAGCGGACUGCCGAAAAGUUGUUCAAACUUGAUUAUUUAGAGGAAGUAAAAGUCGUAACA
Molecule: ribosomal RNA, 329 nt
Filed under: uncultured eukaryote
Lineage: Eukaryota
Description: partial 18S ribosomal RNA
Rfam family: Eukaryotic small subunit ribosomal RNA
Source: RNAcentral